Piliocolobus tephrosceles (Ugandan red Colobus) is the source of this 1896-nucleotide long non-coding RNA. Lineage: Eukaryota; Metazoa; Chordata; Mammalia; Primates; Cercopithecidae. The record is from Ensembl.
AUGUAUAACUUAAAAAAUGAAAAUUACAAAACAUACGACAUUUUUGUAGUUACAUAUAGUCAUUUAUUUUUUUUUUUUAGUUAACACUGAAAACCUUGGAAUUUAAAAGUAAAAAUGAAAUAUAUUAUUAUUUAGAGUUUUUCUUUAUGUUCGUUAAAGGGUAGUGAUGAUAAUCAUAAACUUAUAUAAACUAAUAGUUCAAGAGCCUAGAUUAAAAAUUUUUAUAUAUAACUACUCUAAAAAAAAAAAAAAAAAAAAAAAAAAAAAAAAAAUUAUAUGUUAUAAAGUCAGAGAAUUUAUUUUUUUUUAGUUUUUAUACAUAAUUCAACUGUUAGAAUAUAAAUAAAAAAUUAUAAAUUAUAUGCAUAAUUUUUUUUUUUCAAUUUAAAUUUUUAUGUUAUAAAUAAAUUUAAUAUAACAUGAGUUUGUAUAAUUUUUAUAAUAAUUUGAUCCAUGAUGAAAUUGAUCAAUUAUUUAUAAAACAUAAUAUAAAUUUUAUUAAUUGUUCUAUUAAAAUAUAUAUAUAAAUAAUUAUUUAUUAAAACUCACAACAAAGAUGUUCUCUUUAAUUUUUAUUUUAUUUAAUUAUUUAUUUUUUUUAUAUAUUUACCGAACAAAUAACCAAAUAAAAUGUUAUACAAAAAUACAUUGGAGUGUUGCUUUAAGCAUAUUUUUGAUUAGAUUGAGCAUUACAGAGCGCUUAGAUAAUUAUAUGAAUGAUCAAGUGAUAACUGCCAACAUUAGAGGUAGAAUGUUAGGACAAAUGCAUAGGAAUAACGAAAGUUCGGCGUCACUAAAAACUGUAAAAAAAAAACAGAUAUGUAAUGACAAUGAAAUUAAAGCAGAUGAAGUUUCAGAUGAACAUUAUGAAAAAGUAUUUAUGGAAAUGAUAUCCAAUAUUUAUAAUAAUAGUUAUAAUCAAUUUUUUGACAAUUAUAAUAAACAAUAUAUGAGUGGACAUACAAGUGUUAUGCCAAAAAAAAAAACAGUUUAUAUGUGGGAUUUUGAAUCCAAUAAUUUGGUUGAAGUUGAUAUAAACAGCGACCAGAGAUCACAUAAUUCUAAAUAUCGUGAAGAAUUUGUGAAUCCUGUUAAUAUGUUUGAUAAUAUAAUGCACCAAUAUAAAGAGUAUGAAGAUAAUUUAGUGGGGUUAAUACAAAAUUUGAAUGAUGUAGUUGAUGCAAAUACUAUGAUAACUGUAUUUAAUUAUGUUAUUAUUAUGCAGAAAAAUAAUUACAUUAUACUACUUAAGAGUAUUUUUCAAUAUUUCAGUAUACUGUGUGAAAAAUAUCAUAUACCGGAGUAUUAUAAACAAAGACAAUUUAUAAAAGUAUAUGAUAAAAUAACGCGUGAUAUAUUGCAUUUAGAACAGGAGUGUCUUAAGUAUUUAGCAUGUAUGGUUGGAGAUAAAUCGAUCAAACGUAGUACAUAUCAAUCAUUGUUAAAUGAAGUUAUAAAAAAGUUUAAUGAAUUAAUAAGAUAUUGGGCAAACCAUUCUAUAAAAUAUUUUGAAUGUAAGAUUAAAAAGUAUGCGAAAAUGACAAAGAGAGGAAUUGCUAAUUGAAGUGAAGAACAUAAAUAAUGUCCACAUACACAUAUAUAUAUGUAUAUAUAUUUAUUUAUUUAUCAUUUUUAUUUAUUAUUAUUUAUUAUUAUUUGAUUUAUAUGUUUUUCUUGUAAAAUUUUAGUUUUUUUAAAUUUUAAUUUGACAUAUGUAUUUAAUGCAAUUAAAUUAAAGUUUGUUUAUUAUCAUAAAUAUGCUUUUACCUUUUUAUUUUUAUUGUUGCACUAAACAAUAACAUUUGUCAUUAGUUGUCAUAUAUUUAUAUAUAUAUAUAUAUAUAUUGCUCUUGCAUAAAUAAUAAAAUUUGUUUAGAUAUAUGUACUAUACUAUGU